AAAAGCUAUUGAAUUAACUGAACAAACGGAUAUAAAAGGAAUUCAAGUACAAAUUGCCGGGCGUAUCGACGGAAAAGAAAUUGCACGUGUCGAAUGGAUCAGAGAGGGUAGGGUUCCUCUACAAACAAUUCGUGCUAAAAUUGAUUAUUGUUCCUAUACAACUCGAACUAUCUAUGGAGUAUUAGGCAUAAAAAUUUGGAUAUUUGUAGACGAGAAAUAA
RNAcentral lists this unclassified non-coding RNA (220 nucleotides) under Hevea brasiliensis (rubber tree). Lineage: Eukaryota; Viridiplantae; Streptophyta; Magnoliopsida; Malpighiales; Euphorbiaceae. The record is from RNAcentral.